CGGCCGCGUCGACGGCAACUUGUUGCCUCGCUAUUAGAUGAGCCUAAGUCGGAUUAGCUAGAUGGUGGGGUAAAGGCCUACCAUGGCGACGAUCUGUAGCUGGUCUGAGAGGAUGAUCAGCCACACCGGGACUGAGACACGGCCCGGACUCCUACGGGAGGCAGCAGUGGGGAAUAUUGGACAAUGGGGGCAACCCUGAUCCAGCCAUGCCGCGUGUGUGAAGAAGGCCUUUUGGUUGUAAAGCACUUUAAGCAGUGAAGAAGACUCCAUGGUUAAUACCCAUGGACGAUGACAUUAGCUGCAGAAUAAGCACCGGCUAACUCUGUGCCAGCAGCCGCGGUAAUACAGAGGGUGCAAGCGUUAAUCGGAAUUACUGGGCGUAAAGCGAGCGUAGGUGGCUUGAUAAGUCAGAUGUGAAAGCCCCGGGCUUAACCUGGGAACGGCAUCUGAUACUGUUAGGCUAGAGUAGGUGAGAGGAAGGUAGAAUUCCAGGUGUAGCGGUGAAAUGCGUAGAG
This 515-nucleotide ribosomal RNA is filed under the name uncultured bacterium. RNAcentral describes it as "bacterial SSU rRNA". It matches the Rfam family "Bacterial small subunit ribosomal RNA", at positions 186 to 695 of the family's 1533-position model. The record is from RNAcentral.